AGAGUUUGAUCCUGGCUCAGAUUGAACGCUGGCGGCAUGCCUUACACAUGCAAGUCGAACGGCAGCACGGGGGCAACCCUGGUGGCGAGUGGCGAACGGGUGAGUAAUACAUCGGAACGUGUCCUGUAGUGGGGGAUAGCCCGGCGAAAGCCGGAUUAAUACCGCAUACGAUCUACGGAAGAAAGCGGGGGAUCCUUCGGGACCUCGCGCUAUAGGGGCGGCCGAUGGCAGAUUAGCUAGUUGGUGGGGUAAAGGCCUACCAAGGCGACGAUCUGUAGCUGGUCUGAGAGGACGACCAGCCACACUGGGACUGAGACACGGCCCAGACUCCUACGGGAGGCAGCAGUGGGGAAUUUUGGACAAUGGGCGCAAGCCUGAUCCAGCAAUGCCGCGUGAGUGAAGAAGGCCUUCGGGUUGUAAAGCUCUUUUGUCAGGGAAGAAACGGUCUUGGUUAAUACCUGGGGCUAAUGACGGUACCUGAAGAAUAAGCACCGGCUAACUACGUGCCAGCAGCCGCGGUAAUACGUAGGGUGCAAGCGUUAAUCGGAAAUUACUGGGCGUAARSCGUGCGCAGGCGGUUGUGUAAGACAGGUGUGAAAUCCCCGGGCUUAACCUGGGAAUGGCAUUUGUGACUGCACGGCUAGAGUGUGUCAGAGGGGGGUAGAAUUCCACGUGUAGCAGUGAAAUGCGUAGAGAUGUGGAGGAAUACCGAUGGCGAAGGCAGCCCCCUGGGAUAACACUGACGCUCAUGCACGAAAGCGUGGGGAGCAAACAGGAUUAGAUACCCUGGUAGUCCACGCCCUAAACGAUGUCUACUAGUUGUCGGGUCUUAAUUGACUUGGUAACGCAGCUAACGCGUGAAGUAGACCGCCUGGGGAGUACGGUCGCAAGAUUAAAACUCAAAGGAAUUGACGGGGACCCGCACAAGCGGUGGAUGAUGUGGAUUAAUUCGAUGCAACGCGAAAAACCUUACCUACCCUUGACAUGGCUGGAAUCCUUGAGAGAUCAGGGAGUGCUUGAAAGAGAACCAGUACACAGGUGCUGCAUGGCUGUCGUCAGCUCGUG
RNAcentral lists this ribosomal RNA (1065 nucleotides) under uncultured bacterium. Its description in RNAcentral is "bacterial SSU rRNA". It matches the Rfam family "Bacterial small subunit ribosomal RNA", at positions 8 to 1064 of the family's 1533-position model. The record is from RNAcentral.